CGAACGGAAAGGCCCUGCUUGCAGGGUACUCGAGUGGCGAACGGGUGAGUAACACGUGGGUGAUCUGCCCUGCACUUCGGGAUAAGCUUGGGAAACUGGGUCUAAUACCGGAUAGGAGCCAUCUUUAGUGUGGUGGUUGGAAAGUUUUUUUCGGUGUAGGAUGAGCUCGCGGCCUAUCAGCUUGUUGGUGGGGUAAUGGCCUACCAAGGCGGCGACGGGUAGCCGGCCUGAGAGGGUGUACGGCCACAUUGGGACUGAGAUACGGCCCAGACUCCUACGGGAGGCAGCAGUGGGGAAUAUUGCACAAUGGGCGCAAGCCUGAUGCAGCGACGCCGCGUGGGGGAUGAAGGCCUUCGGGUUGUAAACUCCUUUCGCUAGGGACGAAGCUUUGUGUGACGGUACCUAGAUAAGAAGCACCGGCUAACUACGUGCCAGCAGCCGCGGUAAUACGUAGGGUGCGAGCGUUGUCCGGAAUUACUGGGCGUAAGGAGCUCGUAGGUGGUUUGUCGCGUCGUCUGUGAAAUUCUGGGGCUUAACUCCGGGCGUGCAGGCGAUACGGGCAUAACUUGAGUGCUGUAGGGGUAACUGGAAUUCCUGGUGUAGCGGUGAAAUGCGCAGAUAUCAGGAGGACACCGAUGGCGAAGGCAGGUUACUGGGCAGUUACUGACGCUGAGG
RNAcentral lists this ribosomal RNA (675 nucleotides) under uncultured Actinomycetales bacterium. RNAcentral describes it as "bacterial SSU rRNA". It matches the Rfam family "Bacterial small subunit ribosomal RNA", at positions 63 to 751 of the family's 1533-position model. Lineage: Bacteria; Bacillati; Actinomycetota; Actinomycetes; Actinomycetales. The record is from RNAcentral.